AAUCAGGCGAAAUUUGACAGCGAAUUUCAAAUUUGAUUCUAGUAGGCUGCGAAGAAAAACAUCAAUUUCGCGCAAAAUUUUGGAGAUAGCCAAACAUCAGCAGGAGACUUAAGCCAUCAGAACUGAACUGAGUUCCAGAUUGCCAAACAUCUGCAAAGACAUCCACAGCACACUGAACACCAUUGGUCACCAAUAGCUCUCAACCCUACAUCAUACCAGCUACAUUGUUCGGCGAGUUUUAUUGUUCAAAUCAGUCAUGCCCAGCGCAGGGCACUUGCAUAUGGAAUUCUGCCAGCGCAGGGCAUUUGCUUAUGGAGUUCUGCCGACGUUGGGCAUGACUGGUUUAAAUAUUAAGAAACGCGGUUGCUCCAAGUGCAAUGCAAAUAUGUAUGUACUUUUGUAUGUUAAAAGUGCAACUAGGUAGAUAUGUAAACAGCAAAAAGUGUGGUGCAAUAAAUGUGAAAAGUCCAGUAGAAUGUCUGUUUUUCUAAGCGCAACAAUAUAAAAAUCAGUUUCUUUUAAUUCCAAUUAACAGCAAAUUUACUUAAUUUGUGCCAACUGAGUUUAAUGUAAAUUGUGUAAAUUAUUAUAUGUAUAUGUAUAUUAUUGAUGCGUUUUUAAAAACAGACAUUUUCG
Rhagoletis zephyria (snowberry fruit fly) is the source of this 636-nucleotide long non-coding RNA. RefSeq lists it as uncharacterized. The record is from RefSeq and is a predicted model, not a curated record. NCBI's taxonomy places the organism in Eukaryota, Metazoa, Arthropoda, Insecta, Diptera, Tephritidae.